AAAUAACCUUUAAUUUUUCAUUGUAAAACAAAAUGAUACAAAAAUUAGCAAAAAAAGCUAAAUUCAAAUUUUUCGCAAAAACCGCUUUAAAUUUAUGUCGCCAUCUAUUGAAUGUAAAUGAGAUGUCCAAGUGUUAUUUCCCGGUUAAGUGAAAAUGGGUUUACCAUUUUUAUUGAUUAUUAGGCGAUUUUGAUUAAUAACUACUUCCAUUUUCAACAGUUAUCUAGUUUAAUCAUUAAUUCUUACUUCCAUCCUUAAUUGAAACCUCUACAGUUUAUUUUUAUAGUCUGUUACACUAUUUGUUAAUCAUUUGUUGGUGGUCAAUCAAAAGAUACUCUUGCUUAGUAACAAUCAAGAUUUACUUCAACUUUGACCAGGAAUCAAAUUUAUGUUCAAUUAAACAUGGUAACCUAAACAAUUUCAUCCAUCCUCUGAAUUUUCAAACACUGACUGUUAAACCCAUUUUGGUGUAUUUUUCCUUCUCAUGUAAUUUUGGGUUCAUGCUAUCAAUGGUUUACAUUAUCAAAGACAAGUGAUGUGGAUAAAAAACAUGAAGGACUACAAAGAAAGGAUGACAAUAAAGACGACAAUGGAGACGAUAAAGAUGAAAUGCUGAUGGAAACAAGGAAACACCAAGAAUUGGAAGCACUUGAAACAUGUUAAUCUACGGAAUGGGACGAGAAGGGUGGUGAUAAUGAGAAAGUUUAAUACAAUGGUUUCAAGUUGCUCAUUAACUUUUAAAGUAACAUCAAUCCAUUUGAAUUAUUGCUGUUUGAAGUUCAUUGUCUAUUAUUGACAUGAAGAUAAUAACAAUAAUUGAUUGAUACAUAAACGAAACAUCAAUAGAGAGUUUGUUGUAGUCAAACUUGAUCAACAACCAAUUCCUUUAACUCAGCUGUAUUUUGUUCAAUUGAAAUGGUAAUCAUUAUGAUUAAGUGUUUGCUUUCAAUGUUGCAUUAGGAACAAUGAAAUGUAAACUAGGAAACACAGAAACCAGUAAAUGACGAAAAAAUUAUUUCAUAAAAUUAAGAAAAUUAAAAAAUUUUUUACUUCUAAUUGAAACCAACGGCAAUAAAAGCCUCGUUAACGUCAGUCAAUGUAAACAGAAUUUAUUUUCAAUUAAUGAAAGCAAACAUUAAUCAUCCUGAAUGACAAUUUGUUAAUUUCCUGGUCUUUCUGGUUACAAAGUAAACUGGUGAAACCACAAAAUAUCUCUGAUUUUCUCUGGUUAUUCAAAACCAGAAAAUCUAAACCCAAAUACUAUUCAAUGUAAAUCAAGAUUUGUUGUUGUAAUGGUUGACCAAAAUAAUGACAGAAAUAAGAGGAUAAAGAUGAUCUUUGGUUACCUAUUCCAACCUAAUCAGGAUAAGGUUGGUGUUAUCCAAAGGAGAGCAAAAAAUCAAUAUUAACCUUUUCAGAUUCAUUUCUUAAAUGAUUAAUGUAAACUUUUUCAGAUUCA
Tetranychus urticae (two-spotted spider mite) is the source of this 1459-nucleotide non-coding RNA. The record is from RefSeq and is a predicted model, not a curated record. Lineage: Eukaryota; Metazoa; Arthropoda; Arachnida; Trombidiformes; Tetranychidae.